UACGUAGGCAGCGAGCGUUGUUCGGAAUUACUGGGCGUAAAGAGUGUGUAGGCGGAUCGGUAAGUACCUUGUGAAAUCCCACGGCUUAACUGUGGAACUGCUGGGUAUACUGCCAGUCUUGAGCCACUCAGGGGCUACCGGAACAAAUGGUGGAGCGGUGAAAUGCGUAGAUAUCGUAAGGAAGACCAGUGGCGAAGGCGGGUCUCUGGACAGUUCCUGACGCUGAGGCACGAAGGCCAGGGGAGCAAACGGG
RNAcentral lists this ribosomal RNA (253 nucleotides) under uncultured bacterium. Its description in RNAcentral is "partial 16S ribosomal RNA". It matches the Rfam family "Bacterial small subunit ribosomal RNA", at positions 524 to 776 of the family's 1533-position model. The record is from RNAcentral.